Molecule: unclassified non-coding RNA, 386 nt
Filed under: soil metagenome
Description: partial contains 5.8S ribosomal RNA, internal transcribed spacer 2, and large subunit ribosomal RNA
Rfam family: 5.8S ribosomal RNA (bases 1-120)
Source: RNAcentral
GAUGAAGAACGUAGCGAAAUGCGAUAAGUAAUGUGAAUUGCAGAAUUCAGUGAAUCAUCGAAUCUUUGAACGCACCUUGCGCUCCUUGGUAUUCCGAGGAGCAUGCCUGUUUGAGUGUCAUGAAAUUCUCAACCUUUUCAGCUUUCUUUGUUGAUCAGGCUUGGAUGUGGGAGUAUGCGGGCUUCUCAGAAGUCGGCUCUCCUGAAAUGCAUUAGCGGGACCUUUGUUGCCUGGCUUUGGUGUGAUAAUUAUCUACGCCAUUGUAGUCAAGCAGCUUAAAAUGAGGUUUCAGCUUCUAACCGUCUCCCCUGAGACAACUUUUUGACAAUUUGACCUCAAAUCAGGUAGGACUACCCGCUGAACUUAAGCAUAUCAUAAGCGGAGGA